UACGUAGGGGGCAAGCGUUGUCCGGAAUUAUUGGGCGUAAAGAGCGCGUAGGCGGUCCGAUAAGUCGGCUGUGAAAGUCAGGGGCUCAACCCUUGAAAGCCGGCCGAUACUGUCGGACUAGAGUCCGGAAGAGGCAAGUGGAAUUCCCGGUGUAGCGGUGAAAUGCGCAGAUAUCAGGAGGAACACCGGUGGCGAAGGCGGGUCUCUGGGCCGAAACUGACGCUGAGGAGCGAAAGCGUGGGGAGCGAACAGG
This 253-nucleotide ribosomal RNA is filed under the name uncultured bacterium. RNAcentral describes it as "partial 16S ribosomal RNA". It matches the Rfam family "Bacterial small subunit ribosomal RNA", at positions 524 to 776 of the family's 1533-position model. The record is from RNAcentral.